AGUGAACGCUGGCGGUAGGCCUAACACAUGCCAGUCGAACGGCAGCACAGUAAGAGCUUGCUCUUACGGGUGGCGAGUGGCGGACGGGUGAGGAAUACAUCGGAAUCUACUUUUUCGUGGGGGAUAACGUAGGGAAACUUACGCUAAUACCGCAUACGACCUACGGGUGAAAGCAGGGGAUCUUCGGACCUUGCGCGAUUGAAUGAGCCGAUGUCGGAUUAGCUAGUUGGCGGGGUAAAGGCCCACCAAGGCGACGAUCCGUAGCUGGUCUGAGAGGAUGAUCAGCCACACUGGAACUGAGACACGGUCCAGACUCCUACGGGAGGCAGCAGUGGGGAAUAUUGGACAAUGGGCGCAAGCCUGAUCCAGCCAUACCGCGUGGGUGAAGAAGGCCUUCGGGUUUUAAAGCCCUUUUGUUGGGAAAGAAAAGCAGCAGGUUAAUACCCCGCUGUUCUGACGGUACCCAAAGAAUAAGCACCGGCUAACUUCGUG
This 492-nucleotide ribosomal RNA is filed under the name uncultured bacterium. RNAcentral's name for it is "partial 16S ribosomal RNA". It matches the Rfam family "Bacterial small subunit ribosomal RNA", at positions 29 to 507 of the family's 1533-position model. The record is from RNAcentral.